This is a long non-coding RNA of Eurytemora carolleeae, 355 nucleotides long. RefSeq lists it as uncharacterized. The transcript is spliced from 3 exons. The record is from RefSeq and is a predicted model, not a curated record. Lineage: Eukaryota; Metazoa; Arthropoda; Copepoda; Calanoida; Temoridae.
AGACCAGUGAGUAAGAGAAUAGAGGGAGUGGGUCAGCUUAAACUAGCCUAGUCUGGGUGAGCAGGUCAAACUAUACCUAGUGUCACGUACACCCGGAGUUAUCUAUAUGUAACGGAGAAGAAAAUAUAAAAACAGAAUGGGAGAUGAAUCCCGUGAGACAGGACGGAGAGCAGCAGGACGGGGCGGAGCUAAGAAGAGAAUGCGCUCCAAGUCUGCCAAGAGAACGACAAAGCUGUCUCCGCUCCAGGAGAGGUUGAAGGAUACGGAUUGUUAUCUAAACCAUGAAAUGGAGAGAAUACUAAGCGCUCCAACAACAAAGGAUCGUCUCCUCCUGAUCUCUAGUUUACUAUCUGAA